GGGAAAUCUGGAGGGGAGAUACAUGGGAAUACUUUACUUUUGCAGGUGAAACACACCUCUUGCUGCAGGAGCUGGAACAGUAGUAUAGGGUUAUGGAAGGGGCCAAGUUCUGAGCCUUGCAGAACACCUACUGAAGAACACUGAGAAGCAGAGAGGGAGCUACGGUGAUCCACCUGCUAAAAUCAACCUGACAGGUCACAUUCAGACCACACUAGAGAUGACCCUUUGAUUCCAGCUGUUCUGGAAAGGACACGAGGAUCCGAAAGUCUCGGGACCUUCCGGCUCUUGUUUUGGCUAGUUGGCUCCAGCUCGUCUUUCAUCUGUCUUUUUUUUCAGCUUGACAAGCACAUCAGGCACUUUGGUGGUGGAGCAAUAUCCCACUGGACUACAUUCCUCCCACUGGGUGGACCUUCAGAUGAGCUGUGGUUACUAUUCCAUAGGAAUGGGUCCUUGUGAAGGCAGGGCAUGAUACGGACAUCCUGGAGGUGUACACAAACCGGGGUAUAAAGGUAGGGGAGCAGGAGCUCAAGGCAGUUUGCUGACUCCACUGAGACACCAUCAUGCUGACAGUCAUUUUCUUUGCUCUGCUCCUCGCUGGGAUAGACGACGGGAUAGCUGACUCCACAAAUCCUCCAGAGACUCCUCCUCCAACAUACAAGAUCAUCUAUGACACCUUCGAAGACCUGUAUGGAGGAGAAGAGGACACAGCCCCUGCUAGACUGAGAGACAACACCCUGGCCACUUCCCGCACUGUUACCCUGCUGGACCCCUUCCGCCUUGCUUCCCUUACAAUAAAAUCUGCAUGAGCUCAACCCCGCUGCAUCCACUCUGCUUGACUCCUGUGCUUGGAGUGUGUCACUCUGGGGAAACUUCUAGAAAAGGGGUUGCGAUGUCCAUAGGCUUCUUUGUGUCAGACAAGAGCCGCUGUAAAAAAAUCAAAUAAACUGGGUUCCUGUCAAGGGGUGUGAACA
RNAcentral lists this long non-coding RNA (971 nucleotides) under Scleropages formosus (Asian bonytongue). Its description in RNAcentral is "lncRNA (ENSSFOG00015025062.1)". The record is from RNAcentral. Lineage: Eukaryota; Metazoa; Chordata; Actinopteri; Osteoglossiformes; Osteoglossidae.